This 380-nucleotide ribosomal RNA is filed under the name uncultured bacterium. Its description in RNAcentral is "partial 16S ribosomal RNA". It matches the Rfam family "Bacterial small subunit ribosomal RNA", at positions 338 to 732 of the family's 1533-position model. The record is from RNAcentral.
CCUACGGGAUGCAGCAGUGGGGAAUAUUGGUCAAUGGGCGCAAGGCUGACCCAGCAACGCCGCGUGAAGGAUGACGGCUUUAGGGUUGUAAACUUCUUUUCUCAGGGACGAAGAAAGUGACGGUACCUGAGGAAUAAGCCACGGCGAACUACGUGCCUGCAGCCGCGGUAAUACGUAGGUGGCAAGCGUUAUCCGGAUGUAUUGGGUGUAAAGGGCGUGUAGGCGGGAGCGCAAGUCAGAUGUGAAAACUCAGGGGUCAAACCUGAGCCUGCAUUUGAAACUGUGUUUCUUGAGUGCUGGAGAGGUAAUCGGAAUUCCGGGUGUAGCGGUGAAAUGCGUAGAUAUACGGAGGAACACCAGUGGCGAAGGCGGAUUGCUGG